UACCAGCACCCCGAGUGGUCGGGACGUUUAUUGGGCCUAAAGCAUCCGUAGCCGGUUCUACAAGUCUUCCGUUAAAUCCACCUGCUUAACAGAUGGGCUGCGGAAGAUACUAUGGAGCUAGGAGGCGGGAGAGGCAAGCGGUACUCGAUGGGUAGGGGUAAAAUCCGUUGAUCCAUUGAAGACCACCAGUGGCGAAGGCGGCUUGCCAGAACGCGCUCGACGGUGAGGGAUGAAGCUGGGGGAGCAACCGG
This 251-nucleotide ribosomal RNA is filed under the name uncultured bacterium. Its description in RNAcentral is "partial 16S ribosomal RNA". It matches the Rfam family "Archaeal small subunit ribosomal RNA", at positions 474 to 726 of the family's 1478-position model. The record is from RNAcentral.